This 433-nucleotide ribosomal RNA is filed under the name uncultured bacterium. RNAcentral's name for it is "partial 16S ribosomal RNA". It matches the Rfam family "Bacterial small subunit ribosomal RNA", at positions 29 to 507 of the family's 1533-position model. The record is from RNAcentral.
AACGAACGCUGGCGGCAUGCCUAACACAUGCAAGUCGAACGAGACCUUCGGGUCUAGUGGCGCACGGGUGCGUAACGCGUGGGAACCUGCCCUUAGGUUCGGAAUAACUCCCCGAAAGGGGUGCUAAUACCGGAUAAUGUCUUCGGACCAAAGAUUUAUCGCCUUUGGAUGGGCCCGCGUUGGAUUAGCUAGUUGGUAGGGUAAAAGCCUACCAAGGCGACGAUCCAUAGCUGGUCUGAGAGGAUGAUCAGCCACACUGGGACUGAGACACGGCCCCGACUCCUACGGGAGGCAGCAGUGGGGAAUAUUGGACAAUGGGCGAAAGCCUGAUCCAGCAAUGCCGCGUGAGUGAUGAAGGUCUUAGGGUUGUAAAGCUCUUUUACCCGGGAUGAUAAUGACAGUACCGGGAGAAUAAGCUCCGGCUAACUCCGUG